Capsicum annuum is the source of this 300-nucleotide long non-coding RNA. RefSeq lists it as uncharacterized. The transcript has 3 exons. Lineage: Eukaryota; Viridiplantae; Streptophyta; Magnoliopsida; Solanales; Solanaceae. The record is from RefSeq and is a predicted model, not a curated record.
UAAUACAGAGAAUUGGGCAUUGGGAUUGUCGCAUACAGCCCCCUUGGGCACGGGUUCUUUGGUGGGAAGGCAGUCACAGAAAGCUUGCCGGCGGAAAGUCUGAUGGGUUCUCAUCCAAGGUUCAGUGGAGAAAAUUUGGAGAAGAACAAAGUUCUUUACACAAGAUUUGCUAACUUAGCAGCAAAGCAUGGUUGUACGCCUCCUCAACUAGCUUUAGCAUGGCUUCUGCAUCAGGGAGAGGACGUGGUUCCGAUACCUGGAACAACAAAGAUUAAGAACCUAGAUGCCAACAUUCAAUCC